This 488-nucleotide ribosomal RNA is filed under the name Rhysida cf. immarginata JJ-2011. RNAcentral's name for it is "partial 16S ribosomal RNA". It matches the Rfam family "Bacterial large subunit ribosomal RNA", at positions 1841 to 2609 of the family's 2925-position model. The record is from RNAcentral. Lineage: Eukaryota; Metazoa; Arthropoda; Chilopoda; Scolopendromorpha; Scolopendridae.
AUUUUAAUAUAGUCUGGCCUGCUCUAUGUUUGUAAUUAAUGGCCGCGGUAUUUUGACCGUGCGAAGGUAGCAUAAUCAUUAGUCUAUUAAAUGUGGUCUGGAAUGAAAGGUCUAACAGGGGGUGGCUUUCUUUAUUUUAUUUUUGAAAUUGAAUUGUUAGUAAGAAUGCUGACAUUCUGCAGAUGGACGAGAAGACCCUAUAGAGCUUUAUAUACAUAUUGAUUUUGUUAGUUAUAUUUGUCAAUUAUUAUAUUUUAUUGGGGCGAUAACAAGUAAUAAACAUUUGUAUUUAUGUCUUUUUAAAAGGUUGAAAUGAUCCAUUAUUAAUGAUUAUAGUCUAAGUUACCUUAGGGAUAACAGCGUAAUUUUAUCUUAGAGUUCUUAUCGACGAUAAAGAUUGCGACCUCGAUGUUGGAUUAGAAUUCCUUUUUGACGCAGUAGUUUGAAAAGGUGGUCUGUUCGACUAUUAAAAUUCUACAUGAUCUGAU